Molecule: non-coding RNA, 2751 nt
Organism: Oryza sativa Japonica Group (Japanese rice)
Lineage: Eukaryota; Viridiplantae; Streptophyta; Magnoliopsida; Poales; Poaceae
Source: RefSeq, a predicted model, not a curated record
CUCCUGAUGAGCGGUGGUCCUCGCGCGGCUCUUCCUAUCCUACUGCCAACUCCCGCGAUGACCGCGCGCUGACCACGCCUCGCUCUCUCGCGCCGCUCCUCCUCGCUGAUUCCAACAGCGACGGCGAUUCCACUGAUUCCACCAAUUCUGCCGCUGUUGGAUCUCCACUGAUUCCAUCGAUUCCACCAAUUUCGCCCCGAAGCGGUGACUCCGCCGUGCGCAUCCUCUCUCGCUCGCUCCUCACUCGACCAGUGCCGACCCACUGGUGCACCGCCACAACGCCGGAUCAGCGCCGAGCCACCACCGCACAACUGCAUCCCCUUCCGCCGGUGCCACGCCCGGGACUGCCCCCGACGACGACGGACGCACGCUCCCAUUGCUCCUCCGCAAAUAGCUCCUGAGCUUCACGCGAAGCCCGUGCUGGCCCGGCCCCACGAAAGCCUCUCCUCCGCGAAUCCCUCCCCAUGGAAGCCCUAAGCUCCUCUCUCUUCCUCAGGGAGCGUCGCCGAUCCGUGGGUCGCUGCUCACCCUCCCGUCAUCGGCUGCCACCCGGCGUCUAUCGCCGUCGCUGUUGGAUGCAGGUCGUUGUCCGGCGUUGACUGCUCUCGCUAUUGGAUCAAGGUUGUCGCCCAUCGUCAGGCAUCAUCCACUGCCACCGCCGCUCGCCGGCUCGCCGCCCGAUCGAGCAGGCCAGCACCCAUCUCCAGUGCCCACCAGGUGAACCAGGUAUAGAGGAUGUGGUGGAGGCGUGGGGGCUAAUCACUAUCAGUCAGAUUUUCGUGGAUCGAGCUUAUUACCUGAGUUUUCUCCUCUUCGCUGAUGGAGCCGGUUCAGAUGAAUGUGCUCUUAUCCUGAUACGGCAUAUAGUGAAUCAUUGUGGAAUGACUGAAAUCUGUUUUACUGUGGAAUGAGCAAAAAAUGUUUACUUGCGUUGAUGUCGAGAAGGUUAUAUAAGUCGGGAGCUGUUUGGAAAGGGUUUUAUCGGAGCAACAUUAUUGGGAAAGUAUUUUGCGGAGCAGUUUGGAAAGGGUUUUAUCAGAGCAAUUCUGGAAAUUGUACUUUUAUUGGAUCAAUAAUGAUUGGAAAGGAUUUUAUCGGAGAAAUCUUGAUUAGGAAGGCAUUCCCAUGAGUUGCAAAUCCAAGGAAGUUAAUAACACGACCUGUCUACAGUAUUACAAGCUAAUCGAUUUAUCCCAUUACAAGCUAAAGCCCACUGGUAUGUUUUUGUUUCUCUGCCAUUCACCAUUGAAAUAUGGAAUGCCAUAUUCUUUUUUCCUUCGAUGCACUCUUAAUUGUCUGUUCCAAUUUCUUCGACCACUUAUAAUUUGCAGUUUGAUAUUGCUUUAUCCCGCUGCUUUGCCAUUAGAACCAACAAAAGGAGAAAUGCCUUUAGCUGAAGUCCUCAGAUUCAAUACCAAAGUUGAUUGUUUGAUUCUAAACAUAAUUAUCAUGGUUUCUUGUGGUCCUUUAAUGGUGAUAUUAAGAUUUGGGCAAAAUUGGUACAAAAGCAACAUGUCUAAAAUACCUUGGUAGCUUCCCCAUUUCUAUUAUCUCUCCAAUUUACUCUUAAAUUGUAUGAUACAACAUUAUCAAAUUUCAUAGUAGUUAUUUUGGACUCACCUCUUCAAAGUACCUGUCAUCUGGGUUGGGAGGUAAUUUCUAAAUCUCAGCUCUACUAUGUGAUGAUCUGACAUUCAUAUUUUACUAUAUACUUCUUGUGACUAGAAUUCCUGCUGCAUAUUACGUACUAGCUAGGUAUUUCCUCUUACAAUAAUGGUUGUCAGAAUUAGCAGCAUGAAACUGAUCAGCUCAACUCCAUGCUUGAACAAUUUGUGAGUUUUUCUUUACUCCAGAACACCUGAUCAGUUGACAUCUAUGAUAUAUUUAACAGAUUAUGUUGAUUGCGCAUAAAGAAGUAGCCCAACAUAUUUCUGCUAUGCACAUGAACAUAUUGGUACAUAUUUACAAUUCUUUAUUUUUACGAGGCACUAUGCUACUGAUAGUCUAUUGAUGGGCUAUAGCUGAAUUUAGUUUAAAAACAACUACUGGUUUUUUUUUCACCUACGUUGCCAUUCCUCCGUUCCUGCAUGUCCACUUUGUUGCAAAUCUAGAAUUGUGGAGAAACUCUUGAUGUUCAUCAUAUGCCAGUUCAUACUUUUCUAAAUUGCCAAAUUGAAAAGAGGGUUACAUAUUUAUUCAGUCCUAUCUGCAGGUUGGAAAUUGUAUGCAGCUAGCUAGAUCACUUUCUUAUCACAACUCACAAGAUUGCCACUUUAUUAGCUAUAGUUUGAAUCUAGGAUGGUCUGCCAUAAGGAGCUUUAAUUACUUCUAUGAAUUUUGUUAAAUCAAAAUUGAUCCAUUUGUGGCUUUUAUUGUUUGAGAUUGAAAAAAAAAUCAGGUUGCUGCUCAAGAGCAAAAGGCAAUAACAUGGGGCAGUGAUAAAACUAUUUUUGGGCACAGUUAGUCUGUGACUAUGUCUUCAUGGGCAUAAAUGAAAGAGAAACUCAUUGUUAAAAAACUGAAAUGGAAACAACUUUUCCAUGGUGAUCCGAUUGACCAUCGCUCGGAUCUUGGAUAUCAAUACUGUAAUUCAUAAAGUACAGAAUACAUGAUUCAGAUGGAGAAAGGCAAUACAUGAGGAAGAUGUUUUGAACAAUAUAUUAUCUUAGGUUAAACUAAUGUUUUUUUUCACAUCUGGUGUUUUGUACCCUUACUAAUAAUAAAUUUGAUACUAUAAAUUCUAUCUCAUUA